GGGUUAGUAGGUUGGUCAUGCCUCUGGUAUGUACUAGUCUCACUGAUUCCUCCUUCCUGAUGAACCUUAAUGCCAUUAAUUUGGUGUUUUGGGGAAUUUGGACUGUUACUUUGAAAAAAUUAGCGUGUUUAUGCAAGCUAACGCUUGAAUACAUUAGCAUGGAAUAAUGAAAUAGGACGUUCGAUCAUAUUUUGUUGGUUUCUAGGAUUGACGUA
RNAcentral lists this ribosomal RNA (215 nucleotides) under Campeiostachys nutans. Its description in RNAcentral is "Elymus nutans partial small subunit ribosomal RNA". Lineage: Eukaryota; Viridiplantae; Streptophyta; Magnoliopsida; Poales; Poaceae. The record is from RNAcentral.